RNAcentral lists this transfer RNA (72 nucleotides) under Chthonerpeton indistinctum. RNAcentral's name for it is "tRNA-Ile". Lineage: Eukaryota; Metazoa; Chordata; Amphibia; Gymnophiona; Typhlonectidae. The record is from RNAcentral.
AGGCACGUGCCCGAAAGAUAGGGAUCACAUUGAUACAGUGAAAAAUAAGAACUAGAACCCCUUCGUAGCCUA